RNAcentral lists this ribosomal RNA (468 nucleotides) under uncultured bacterium. RNAcentral describes it as "partial 16S ribosomal RNA". It matches the Rfam family "Bacterial small subunit ribosomal RNA", at positions 28 to 507 of the family's 1533-position model. The record is from RNAcentral.
GACGAACGCUGGCGGCGUGCUUAACACAUGCAAGUCGAACGGAAAGGCCCUGCUUUUGUGGGGUGCUCGAGUGGCGAACGGGUGAGUAACACGUGAGUAACCUGCCCUUGACUUUGGGAUAACUUCAGGAAACUGGGGCUAAUACCGGAUAGGAGCUCCUGCUGCAUGGUGGGGGUUGGAAAAUGUCGGCGGUAGGGGAUGGACUCGCGGCUUAUGAGCUUGUUGGUGGGGUAGUGGCUUACAAAGGCUUUGACGGGUAGCCGGCCUGGGAGGGUGACCGGCCACAUUGGGACUGCGAUACGGCCCAGACUCCUACGGGCGGCAGCAGUGGGGAAUAUUGCACAAUGGGCGGAAGCCUGAUGCAGCAACGCCGCGUGCGGGAUGACGGCCUUCGGGUUGUAAACCGCUGUCGCCUGUGACGAAGCGUGAGUGACGGUAAUGGGUAAAGAAGCACCGGCUAACUACGUG